Molecule: ribosomal RNA, 253 nt
Filed under: uncultured bacterium
Lineage: Bacteria
Description: partial 16S ribosomal RNA
Rfam family: Bacterial small subunit ribosomal RNA
Source: RNAcentral
UACAGAGGUCCCAAGCGUUGUUCGGAUUCAUUGGGCGUAAAGGGUGCGUAGGCGGCGCGGGAAGUCGGGUGUGAAAUCUCGGAGCUUAACUCCGAAACUGCAUUCGAUACUGCCGUGCUUGAGGACUGGAGAGGAGACUGGAAUUUACGGUGUAGCGGUGAAAUGCGUAGAUAUCGUGAGGAACACCAGAGGCGAAGGCGGCUACCUGGACAAUUGCUGACGCUCAGGCACGAAAGCGUGGGGAGCGAACAGG